Molecule: ribosomal RNA, 251 nt
Filed under: uncultured bacterium
Lineage: Bacteria
Description: partial 16S ribosomal RNA
Rfam family: Bacterial small subunit ribosomal RNA
Source: RNAcentral
UACGGGGGAGCAAGCGUUGUUCGGAUUACUGGCGUAAAGGGCGCGUAGGCGGCCAGCACAAGUCAGUUGUGAAAUCUCCGAGCUUAACUCGGAACGGUCAACUGAUACUGUGCGGCUAGAGUGCGGAAGGGGCAACUGGAAUUCUUGGUGUAGCGGUGAAAUGCGUAGAUAUCAAGAGGAACACCUGCGGCGAAGGCGGGUUGCUGGGCCGACACUGACGCUGAUGCGCGAAAGCUAGGGGAGCGAACGGG